Molecule: antisense RNA, 75 nt
Filed under: Streptomyces avermitilis MA-4680 = NBRC 14893
Lineage: Bacteria; Bacillati; Actinomycetota; Actinomycetes; Kitasatosporales; Streptomycetaceae
Description: Streptomyces avermitilis MA-4680 ASpks TB sRNA
Rfam family: ASpks TB sRNA
Source: Rfam by way of RNAcentral
CUUCAGCGAGCCCAACCACAGCGGCCGGUCCUCCGUCCGCUCCCGGCCGUAGGUGGCGAGGAGCGCCUGCGCCUC